This 468-nucleotide ribosomal RNA is filed under the name uncultured bacterium. Its description in RNAcentral is "partial 16S ribosomal RNA". It matches the Rfam family "Bacterial small subunit ribosomal RNA", at positions 28 to 507 of the family's 1533-position model. The record is from RNAcentral.
GACGAACGCUGGCGGCGUGCUUAACACAUGCGAGUCGAACGGAAAGGCCCUGCUUUUGUGGGGUGCUCGAGUGGCGAACGGGUGAGUAACACGUGAGUAACCUGCCCUUGACUUUGGGAUAACUUCAGGAAACUGGGGCUAAUACCGGAUAGGAGCUCCUGCUGCAUGGUGGGGGUUGGAAAGUUUCGACGGUUGGGGAUGGACUCGCGGCUUAUCAGCUUGUUGGUGGGGUAGUGGCUUACCAAGGCUUUGACGGGUAGCCGGCCUGAGAGGGUGACCGGCCACAUUGGGACUGAGAUACGGCCCAGACUCCUACGGGAGGCAGCAGUGGGGAAUAUUGCACAAUGGGCGGAAGCCUGAUGCAGCAACGCCGCGUGCGGGAUGACGGCCUUCGGGUUGUAAACCGCUUUCGCCUGUGACGAAGCGUGAGUGACGGUAAUGGGUAAAGAAGCACCGGCUAACUACGUG